This 374-nucleotide ribosomal RNA is filed under the name uncultured organism. Its description in RNAcentral is "partial 16S ribosomal RNA". It matches the Rfam family "Bacterial small subunit ribosomal RNA", at positions 527 to 896 of the family's 1533-position model. The record is from RNAcentral.
GUAGGUGGCAAGCGUUGUCCGGAAUUAUUGGGCGUAAAGCGCGCGCAGGCGGUCCUUUAAGUCUGAUGUGGAAGCCCACGGCUCAACCGUGGAGGGUCAUUGGAAACUGGAGGACUUGAGUACAGAAGAGGAAAGCGGAAUUCCAAGUGUAGCGGUGAAAUGCGUAGAGAUUUGGAGGAACACCAGUGGCGAAGGCGGCUUUCUGGUCUGUAACUGACGCUGAGGCGCGAAAGCGUGGGGAGCAAACAGGGAUUAGAUACCCUGGUAGUCCACGCCGUAAACGAUGAGUGCUAAGUGUUAGGGGGUUUCCCGCCCCCUUAGUGCUGCAGCUAACGCAUUAAGCACUCCGCCUGGGGAGUACGGCCGCAAGGCUG